Molecule: ribosomal RNA, 322 nt
Filed under: uncultured eukaryote
Lineage: Eukaryota
Description: partial 18S ribosomal RNA
Rfam family: Eukaryotic small subunit ribosomal RNA
Source: RNAcentral
CCCUUAGAUGUUCUGGGCCGCACGCGUGCUACACUGAGUGGAUCAGCGGGUCAGGUUGCGCGAAAGUGUUUCCUAAUCUUUAAAUCCGCUCGUGAUGGGGAUUGACGGUUGCAAUUUUCCGUCAUGAACGAGGAAUACCUUGUAAGCGCGGGUCAUCAUCCCGCGCUGAAUACGUCCCUGCCCUUUGUACACACCGCCCGUCGCUCCUACCGAUUGAGUGCUCCGGUGAGGCUUUGGGAUCUGAGCGGAAAGAGCGUUUCGCUGUUUCUGCCCGGAAAACUCAGUCGAACCUUAUCAUUUAGAGGAAGGAGAAGUCGUAACA